AUUGCCAAUGUCAAAUUAUAAAUUGAAAUUUCUGUCGUGUAGAGAGAGUGUGAUUUAUUAACUUACUAUAAAAAAUCUAAAGUGCUUUUGACAGUUUUUCUCAACCCUUCACCCCUCAAACGAAGACAGGCUGUGGAGAGAAACUGCUGUCAUUGACUAUUUGCAUUCCUAAGGGACAGUGAUCAGCUCGCUAUUGAGUUGGAAUCUCCAUAUGUUUUCGCCUUUUCUUUUCUUUUCUUUUCUUUUUUUUUUUUUUUUUUUUUUGUGCAUUUGUUGUAAUCAUUAUAUCGAACAUGGACUUAUUCUGGAAACCUCAAAAAGAUGGUAGGAAGAUGGUCAAGUUAAUUAUUUUUUCUUUUCCUUUUUUGUUUACACACAUGAGUGGGUGUGUAUGCUUUCUAUUUGUUUUUAGGAACUCCCUAUUGGUAAUGUCAACCUGCAAAGCCCCACAAUUGAACUCUAGUGAUUGUUCACUUAAUUUAAUGAAAAAUGGACAUUUAUUAUAAAGAAAGAUACAAAGGAACUCUAUAAGAGAGACACAACAAAAAAUAAAAUAAAAAAGAAUAGAAAAGAAAAUGAAAGAAAGGGCUUGUUUGACAACUGUUUUCAAAAACAAUUUUUUGUUUUCUAAAACAAAAAAACUGAAAAAACACGUUUGACAACCGGAAAGCUAUUUUCUGUUUUUUGUUCUUAAAAACAAAUAACAAAAUAUGUUUAGAGAAUAUUUUUUAGUUGUUUUAAGUUGUUUUGUCUUAUUUUCAAGUUUUUUAAAAACUAAUUAUACAAACAUGUAGAAUGACUAAAAAUAAAGCACUAGAUAUAAAAAUUAUUUUUAAAACAUAAUUAAAAAUAUUAAAAAUAGGUUAAAAGCAUUUCAAUUUUCCAAACAGACUUUUGUUAUAAAUAUAAUAAACCAAUUUUCAAAAACUAUUUCCAAAAACUGUUUUACAGAUCUGUUUUAAAAAACGGUUACUAAACAGGUCUAAAGUCUCUCAGCAAUACUAGCUAAUAUAGAAGAUCGAAAGCAUGUUUAUUUGAGAGAAACAUAAACAAGAAAUGAGAGCAAAAAUAUAAUUCUCAAGGUGCAUCUAGCCAAAAACUGGAAAUAUACAAAAGCACGUGUUAAUGAUUAGGUUUGAAGGUAGUAUCCAAAUAAAUGGUCAUUCUACAGAUUUAGAAAGAUUGACAAUGUCAAAGGGGAGUUUGCAUAAGCCACAAUCAUUAGUUGUCAUUCUUAGGGAAACUAUAUUUCUUCCUCUAUUGAGUUAGUUUAUGAUUGUCCACAUUGAUCAUUACCUAAGACUAGAGGGUGCUUCUAUAGUUUUUUUGCCUAUUAGUUCUAAAUUGUUGAUUGUUGACGUUGCUUAUAAUAGUUUACACAAGAAGAGAUGGCCCAAUUUUUUAACCUUCUUCAAGGAACUCUCUCCCCAAGCAAUUCCAGCUUCUACAAUUGCCUCAACAAUGCAAUGAUGUUUCUCCAACAUAAAUCGUGUUCGUAUAACAGAAAGCGUGAUAAGCUUCAAAAAUAUCAAGGCAUUCAAUCUUUUCUGCAAGGUUAUUAUCAUCUGCUAAACUUAGUCGACAAAUGGUUUGUCUUUAUCCUUUUUUGUCCUCUGUAUUUCCAUUUAAUUUUCAAAUUUAGUUUUUGGUAGGUAGUUGGAAGGUGAUAGAUCAUGUUGAGAAAUGCUCACUUCAAGCCCAAGGUAAGGUACUAUAUCAUGCUUACUACUAUACUUUAGGCUUAGAUUUGUUUUCAUGUGAGGUCAACAUCUGCUUGAAACUAACACUUCCUAUCCUGUCCCAUACCCACCAAAAAGGGGAAAAAAGUAAGAAAGAAAGAAAGAAAAAAAUGUUAAACUGAAUCUAACCCCAGGAAAAAGUUAAAAUCCUAGUACAAAUAUGGGUGAUAUAUUAAUGAGCAUUCUUUUUUUUUUUUUUUUUUUUCUUUUUGCUAAAUUUAGGGUUUGUUUGGGAACUAUUUUUGAAAAUGGUUUUUUGUUCUCCAGAACAAAAUACACAGGAAACAUAUUUGACAGCCAAAAAUUGUUUUGAACGGAAAACAAAGUGUUUUCUAAAAGCAUCUUUUGGCCGUUUUCUAUUGUUUUAACUUGUUUUAUGAAGGUUAUUUUAAGAAAUAAUUAUAUAAACAUGUAGAAUGAUUAAAAAUAAAAUACUAUAUAUUAAAAUUAAUUUAAAAAUAUAAAAAUAGGUUAAAAAUAUUUUAGGCUUUCAAACAAAUUUUUGUUCUACAAAAAUCAGAAAACACUUUUCAAAAAUUGUUCUUAAAAACUAUUUUUUUAGAAUCGUUUUCGAAAACAAUUACCAAACAGACCCUUAAUAUUGUUUUAGAUACAACACUUCUGCAUUUGAUCAAAUGAAACUUCUAUGGUCUUAAUAGAGAGAUGCCAAGCUGUGAUUUUCCAAAUAGUUCACAUAGGAGCUAUAACUGUUUCUUCCUUUUCGUUGUUAUGGUGUAUCUAUAUUUGAAUAGCAGAGACUUCUUAAGAAAUAUUGCAUUAUUUUCCGGUAAGUAAUAUUAUUGGACUGAGUUUUUGACUGAAUUGUUCUUCAUUUAGAUAGUGAGACCAUUCCAUUUCACCAACCCCUAGAAACAUGAACUUUUGAGAUAAUAUGGCUUAUGCCAAAAAGGUAUAAAAUUGGACUAAUUUGGAAAUAUUGGGCAAUUUAUAUUAAACCCAUUAUUUCCAUAUGGUUUUCGAUUCCUAAUCCUAGUAAGGUGAAAUGAUAAGAUGUGUUCUGAUGAAAAUGCAAUCGAUUCUAGGAGGUCUAUAAGAAGGAUGAUGACAGACCUGCUUAUGAUUAUGGGCAAAUGCUCGAUCGUUUUGAAUCCAAUAUGUGAGUGUUGAAGUAGCUUCUUAAAGUCACAUUUCCACAGAUUAUGGGCUAAAUAAAUGGCCUAGUCUAAUUUAGGUACCAGAAUUCUCAAGUGCAAUGCUUAUUGCUAUUUUGGUUUUUUUAGGUUAAUCUAAUUACCACUUCUUUUAGGCCUAUGUUCAUGAUGCAGGAGAAUUAGAUGCAUUUCCACAUAUACAAACUCUUAAAGGAUUUCCCAAGGAGGAGCUUUUUGCAAAAGUGGUGAUGGUUCGAUUUGAUUCUGCAAUCCUACUCCAGAAAGAACUGGACCUGAAGAGCCAAGUCACCAGUGCAGUUUCUACCAUCAAGUAUUUAUUUGAAGCUGGGGCCAAAAUAAUUCUACUGAGUGAUUGGAACAUGAAAAUUAAUUCAAAACUUCUUGUGGUGGAAUCUGUUGCAGGUAUAUAAUAUAAAAUGGUUCUGCUUCUGAUAGUACUCUUCAGUUUUACUCAUCCAGUCUUGAUUAAGCUCACCAAGUAGCAUUCUGCUGUUUCUUGCAUGCCUAUAAAAAUAAAAAUAAAAGAAGAAAAAAAACCUGCAAUGAGCAUCAGAUAUUAUUAAAAGAAUUGAGAGACAUCACAACAUAAGGCUAUAUUUAUUAUUAUAGAACAAAUUGUAACUUGUUUUGUUUAUGUAGGAGUCUGUGCUUAAUGCUUGAUGAUGGUCUGUCUCUAUGUUUCAGAUUUUCUGUCAUCAGUACUCCAACUCAAAGUUGCUCCAUCAAGAUGCAUUUCCAAUUGUAGUCUGUCUAAGAUGGAAGAGCUUGAGAAAGCAGACAUUCUUCUUCUUGAGAAUCUUUCUGAGUUCAAAGGGGAACUUGCUAAUUGUUCAAAGUUUGCUGAACAAUUAUCUUCAGUAGUUGAUAUCUUUGUCAAUGAUUCCUUUUCCAAUUCUCAUAAAAUUCUUGCAUCAACUGUUGGUGUUCCUCGCUUUUGCUCUGCCUGUGUGGCUGGGUUUCACUUUGAGGAGAGCCUAUGUCAACUAAAGAUGGCUGCCCAAAUCAAUAAGAAACCAUGUAUUGCAAUUGUACGGCUCCACUCCAUUGAAAAGCUAAUGUUUAUUCCCUUAAGUCUAUAAACUUCUUGCACUUUCUGAUAAAUUAUGGAAUAAUUUGUUAAUUCAAUACUGUUCUUAAUCUAUUUCUGUCAUUCUGCUAUUUAAUGCAGAUUGGAGGGGGUAAUCUUUUUGAUAAAGCAAGUGCAGUUAGAUACUUGGCUUCUAGAUGUGACGGGUUGGUGUUUGUUGGGAUGAUGGCAUUCCAAAUAAUGCAUGCCUUAGGACUGCAUGUUCCCUUGAAUUUGUUGGAAGGUGGACCACUGAAAGAAGCUUCAAAUAUAGUUCAGCUUGCGCAAAACAGAAAGAUACCAAUUCUAUAUCCAAAAGACUUCUGGUGCAUGACUAAUGAUUUUCCAAAGCAAAUGGAAAUAUUUCCUGCCUAUGGUAUUCUUGAUGGUGAGUUUGCAUUUAUUAAGCUUGGAAUAUUACAUGCUAUGUUUCAUUUUAAUGAUUAAAAUUUUCAAGUAAUGCUAUAACUGUAGCUGCUAAAUCUCUGAAACCUACCUACUCUGAAUGUUAAGACUGGUCUUCUUCUACAUGACUAAAAUGGGACUUGGCUGGGAUCUUGUGUGCAGAAUUAGUUGAUAGUACCGACUAACUAACCUCUUUCUUGUUUUUGUGUUGUUUUCCUUGGAAUAUUAAAUGAGCACUUAGUGUAUCUUGGCACAACUUAUACAAGUAUGAACGUUAGAAGAAAGAAGGAAAUAGUAGUUUAGAGACACCUUUUGGAUAUGUUUGUUUGAUUGUGCUUAAUAUCUCCUUUCUUAGUUAUCCAAAAGAAACUAGACAUAACCAUCCUGAAACACCUAUUUCCAUCAAUAAACUCUAAUUUUAUGGUGGACAUUCUUCUUCUUAAUGUCCCCACUUAUGAAUGAGUUGACUGAGGUAGCAACAUUGGAUCAGUCAUAUUAUAGCUGAUAUGCAGAGAUGCUCAUUAGGGCCUACCAUUUGGUUUGCUCCUUCCAUAAUUUAAAACCUCCAAAUAUCAGUCUCAAAAACCUUUAGGGUGCUUGGUGCCAAUCUGUAAAUAUUUCCGGAAGUUUAUAAAAUGGUAAUCACAUGUUCUCAUAUUUCUCUGCACAUAAAUGCACACUCAAUUAUGUGUACUAGACUAUAAUGUGUGAAUUGGUCAACAAAUGUGCAGAAUCCUGAUAAUUAAUUUACUAUUCUCAAAAACUUCAAAUAUCAGUCUUGGCCUAUUAGAAGUAGAAGGCACUCUGGUGGGAUCCUCAUGGCCAGAAAAAGAUUGCAGUCAGUUUGAUAAUGAUCGAGUGGCAUUGCUUCUUCAGCCUGAACCAAGGAUUCCCCUAGAUAUGAUACAAAAUGGGUCUUGUUCUGCUUGGUGCCAAUCUGUAAAUAUUUCUGAAAGUCUAUAAAAUGGAAAUCACAUGUCUCAUAUAUUUAUCUGCACAUAAAUGCACACUCAAUUAUGUGUACUAGUCUGUAAAGUGUGAACUGGUCAACAAAUGUGCAGAAUCCUGAUAAUAAAUUUACUUUGACUCAUUUCUUUUCACAAGGCACAUCUAACAAAAGAUAUUUGUAAUUGUGGAGUUUAGGUGGAUCAUUAUACUGCUAGUACUUCCAUUUGUUGGGAAUGAGUUUUUGUUGUUAAGUUAUUGAUUUACAAUUAAGUGGACAAUUUUCAUUUGAUAUUCUCCUGUUGCCUUUUUUAUGAUAUUGAUAUUUAUUGAUUGUUUUCUCAUCUAUCAACAUUUUUUCCUUUUAGGUUGGAUACCUGUUGAUCCUGGACCCAAAGCAUUGGAUGAAAUAAAUUCUUUGCUUACAGGUUGCAAGGUGAGAUGAGAAGAUUCUCAUUUUGUAUCUUAAUGUAUGACUGUUCCCUAUUUUUUUCAUUCUUUUUUUUUUUUUUUUUUCUGAUGCAACAUCACAUUUACUCUGAACUGAACUAAAUCUCAUUCUUCACUUGGUUUUGUUUUGCUGCGUUGUUGAUGUUUGGAGGAGGUGAGGGGUUUGUUUACUAUUUGAUGAAUAUAGGCAAUUGAUGCAACAUAGCUUUAAUGCGUAUGUUUGUUGUACUGAUGUUGUGGUCCCUGAUUUUUUUCCACUUUCUUUUUUUGGGGUUUGGUCCCUGCUGGACUUGAACCUUGAACCUCUCACAUCCCCACCCAUUCCAUUGCCACUUGAACCUCAAGGGUGACGUUGUGGCUUCAAUGCUCAUGUUUGUUGUCUUGAAGCUGUGCUCCGUUUUUUUUUCCUUCCCUUUUUUAUGGGUUUGGUCCCUGCUGGACUUGAACCUUGAACCUCUCACAUCCCCACCCCAGCCCCUUGCCACUUGAAACUGAAGGGUGAAGUUGUGGUCUCUGUUAUUUACAACACAGUGGUUAUAAUUUUAGCUUUAUCUCACUAUUUAUGUCUACUUUAACUCCAGAGACAGCAAUUUUACCCACUUUGCAUUCUUGAUUCUUCUGUAAGAUCUGUCAAUCAAAAUAAAUGCUCUGAAUGAUCACAAUCAGCCCUCUCUGAGACAUAAAGUUCACAUUUCUUGAACUAUUUGCUAUGCUGAAGCAUCUUUUUAGAAACCAAAGCAUGACAGGAAGUUCCUUGAAACAUUUUGAUGAGGAUGAAUCUCCAAAAUAUACAUCAAGAUAGGAAAUUAGUAUUAAUUGCAAUUAAAGUAGGAUUAGUAUUACUUAGAAUUAAAAUAGGAUUAGUAUUUGUUGGAUUUAAAUUAGGAGUAGCUAAUUAGGUUAUAAGAGAAUUUGAAUUAGAGUCACAAUAGGUUAUUAGAAUCCAAGUAGACUUUAGUUUUCUUAGAGAAAUCUAUAAAUAAGUUUAAUUAAUGUAAAUCAAAUUAAUGGGGAUUGAUGAUUAAUAAUAUCAUGUUUUCUUGCAUACUUUGCAAUUUUAAAUGGUGAAACUCUAUUGAUUUUCUUCUAGGUGAGACUCCUAGAAGGCUUUAGUGUGACUCUGAGGUUUCUAUCUCUUCUUCUCCUUAAACUCUAAAAAAACCCUAGCCCAACAAUUUGAUUGUAGGCAACCAUCCUAUGGUUCUCCUACAUCACAUUUCUUCCCCUUCAAAUAAAGAAGACUGCUUAAAUGCAUGAUGAGCAUACCCUAUAUUGGAAAUGAAACCACACCAAAAGAGUCACAACUUGGGAAAAAGAAAAGAAAUGAAAAGACAGCAUUAAAAAUGUAAUAAACUGGAGAAACAUUUGAUAGGAUGAAGUUGAAAAGGCUGUAGAAACUAGAAAGGCUUGUGAAAGUGAAGUGUGGUCAUACCUUUUAUUUUGAAAUAAGAAAAAUAAGAAAUUGUAGAGUUAUUAUGUGAAAUACUCUGUAAAUUGAAAAGGUUAGUGGAGUGUAUUUGUAUGAAUGUUAGUCUUUCUCACUCAAUUUUGAGUUUUGUUUUUGCAUAAAGCAAUUAUUAAGGAUGAAUUCCAGGUAUUGUACAGAUGAGUGUAACCUUAUGUACCCGCCUAAUUCAGGCAUCAAAUGUUUAUCAUUUCUUUUUCACAUCUACAGUUUGUUAUGCAUUAAAAGGUUCAAGGUAUUUUCAGAAUCACAUGCUCAAUUUUGUCCCAAUUUUUCUGUUUGUUGUGAACUCUGAUAAGUGGAUAUUAAAAGAGAAAAGAAUUACUAAUCAAUUAAACUUUAUUUUGAGCCAUCUGUAUAAUCUGCUAACAACUUUUUCUUUGUAAGAAUUCUUUUGCUGCAUUGGUGUCUUUUAACUUGUUGCUGUUCUUGUGAUUCUCAGAUGUAUCUAACACUUUUUAUCAAUUUACCACAGAAAAUUAUCUGGAUUGGUCCAGUAAAAUUCAGGUUGCCAAGUCAGGAUAUAUAUGGAGCAUCUAAGUUGGUGUCAAUGCUUGAUAGACUAACUCAAAGCAACUGCGAAAUAACUGUUAUUGGGAAUAUGGCUUGCAAAGCAGUUAUGAAGGAAUCAAGUUUUGUCUCAGUUUAUAAUAUGGUUGAGAAUGCUUCAGUGGUGUGGGAAUUUCUCAAAGGAAGAAAACUUCCUGGUUUAAUGGCCUUAGAUAGAGUAUGCUUUUUAUCCUUCUCUCCACUCAAAUUUUAAAGUUGUAAUUAGUUACCAUAUAAAGGUAUAUUAAAGCAGGACUGGAGAACGUGGUAAAUCUAUCCUCUUGUCCUUAUGUACAAUUCCUGCACAACCAGUCAUGGUUGGAUCCACCUUCUUGUUGAAUCCACUAAUUAGAUUUCUAAUAAGAGAAAACCAAUUUUAUCCAGUGGUGAAAGACAGAUUUGAGUAGGUGUUUAAGAUCAUCUGAUCAGGUUGAUGGCAGAUGGUGGUGGCUUCAGGAAGUGCAAGGAAGAGUGGAAGUGGCAGUAGUGGGGUGUUUUAGUUUGGUUUUACCUAAGAGUUUGAUAUGUCUGGGGUUUCUAUCUAGGCCUUCAGGGUGAAGUUUUUUGUAUCGGGUGUUGUUUGUUGUUUCUUUGUCCUUUUGCUUGUAUUCUACUACUACUCUGUGUGUACUUUAUGUGCCUUUUUUGAGCACUUUUAAUAUAUUUGCUAUGUUUACCUAUAAAAAAAAAACAAAAAAAUCAUCUGAUUAGGUUGAUUUAUGUUUGAAAAGAUCUCUAUGCUUGAGAUCCAUCAUUUGAGGUACACCAAAAUUGGUGAAUGCAUGGGACAUGAAUUAGGAUUGAAGGAGAGUUUUAAAAACAUUAUGGUGUUGUGACAUUAGUAUGCCUUUUGAAAUAGAUCAUCUAGGACUGUUGGUUGAGCAUUUUGAAAGUACUUUUGAGAAGCAAGAAAAGUGGGAUUUUAAGCUGCAGAGAAAAAAACCAUAAUGUGUUGAUAGUGGAUUUCUUCUUAAUGUUUGUAAACACUUGUUUAAAUUACUAGCAUUUUAUCAGUUCUAUAAAUGACCUCAUUUUUAUUUUAUUAUGGUAAUUAUACUGGUGUAUCUUCACAUUUAUACUAUUAACAUGUUUAAGUGCUAUAUAAAACAAGACCUGAACCUUCAGUGCAAUAUAACAUGCUUCCCCUCCUCAUACAUUUGACAUUUAGUAAAAUUGUAUUAGUAAUAUGGGCAUUGAGGUGUUUUGAAUGUGUCUAUGCUUGUGCUGCAGUGUAUGUGCAUGGCUUGUAAAAAGUGAAUCAAUUUCAUUUCAAUACUAAUGAUUCUCUCUUUUUUUUUUAUAGGUGAUAUACUAAUGAUUCUCUUACACUGAUUUUUUCAUGGUUUAUCUAAAGUGGUAUCGUAUGAGUAUAUGUACUUGGUAACCAUGCUUCCUUUAAUGGUUUGCCUGGUAACUGUGCUUAUGGCCUAAAGUUAGUACUUUUAAUUUUGACUUAGAAAUACUGGAUUGCUCAGUCCUAUCAAAAAGAUAAAGUGUAAAUGGAUAUGCUCACUAUAAGAAGCCAUGCAACUGGAGAGUCAAGUUUUGUAUAAUAUUAUUUUAUGUAUGCCGUCCAUACAUCAAUUUCUACUCAGUUAGCACUUCAUAACCUUAUGGCAGUUGCUUUGUGCAGGCAUACCCAGUUGAGAUUGAUUGGAAUGCAGCCUAUAGUCAUCCAUCCCAACCCUUGGUAGUUGACAUUGGCAGUGGUAUUUAUGUCUCCAUUCCCUUCCUAUAGUUUCUUUGUUUUGUUUUUUCAAAUGUGUAUGAAUAAUGAAAAGAAAAAAAUAACAGCAAGUGAAGUUUGCUGAAUUAGGAGCUAACAAAAGAAGGCAAGGAUGUAGUUCAUAGUUUUAGACUGUUAUGUUUUUUAUGAGCGUUGUCAUAGUUCUAGACUAUGUUAAUGCUGAAAUGGCUAUUUUAGCUGUUUUGUCUUAUCUAGAUGUGCAUGUACUAUGUAUAGUAAAACCCCUAUAAAAUAAUACCCUUGAGACCAAGAGAAAUUAUUGUCUUAGUGGGGUUAUUGAUUUAUCAAUAAAUUAAUAAUUGUUGAGCUGUAAAUAGAAUAGGAGAAUUUUUUUUUCCUAUUAUGUUAGUUUCCUAUUUCUAUAAAUAGAUAGUUUUAUGAUUUAGAAAUAAGUUAGUUUAGGAAUAAGUUAGUUUCCUAUUAUGUCUCUUGUUUCCUAUUUCUUCUCUUGUAAUCUCCUAUAUAAACCGUGUGUAUAGUCAAUCUAAUAGAUAGAACUUAUUAUUUUUCAUCCCAUAUUUCGUGUGAAUAAUGUAUUUAUAUUUGUUAAUUUAUAAAGAGUAUUAUGUUUCUAAUUUUCACAUGUAUGACUUAUAAAUCAAAAAACAAUGGAUGUAAUAGAAAGUUAAUACACAGAAGCCUAAGAAACUCUAAAAAAAUAAGAGAUGAUUAUUAAUUGUAAAUGAUAGAAAAACUUCUAAAAAGAAGAGGUGCGGUGUUAAAAUUAAUAUCCUAAAAAAAGGGGGGAUUCGUUGUUUCGAGGAUAAAGUGUUACAUUUGGAGAGAUGGGGGCCAGAGAUAGGAUGCUUUCUGGCAGGAGACCAUGCUAAACAAAUCUGGGUGAGAGUAGUGGGUCUUCUGCUACACUUCUGGAAUUGGGAGGAGUUCAGAAAGAUGGGCGACUGUUGUGGGGGGCUCGUUGCUAUGGAUGAAGACACAACUAAUUUUUCACAGCUUCAGUGGGCCAGGCUCUUGGUGAAGUUCUGAGGGGAAAGACUUAUUUGGGUUGUUACAGUUGGUUGUGAGUUCCUUUUGCUUUGCAAUCCAACUAUGGUGGGAAGUGCCUUUGUGGGUGUAGAUAGUGGUGUCGAUGAAUUUGAAGAGCUGAAGUGAGUGACUGAAGGUUAUGGAUGAUGGAAGGGGGAGGAUACACGAGCGAGGAGUAGCAUGGGGCUUACCGAUCGCUUGUGCAAUCUAUUGGGGGUGGCAUGUCGUGUUUCAGUGGUGAAGUAAGAAACAGGGAGGUGGCUGUUGACUCUAACUUGCCUGGUGGAGUUUUUGUUGGGGUUGCAGGAAAAGGUGGGAGAGGGAGAGCAGUUGGAAAGGAAAGGCGUGAUGGAGGGAUGUUAAGUGGGAAGGGGAGUGGGCCCACAUUUGUGGGCAGACGGGCUGUGGUCGGCAAUGCAGAUGCGAGGUGUGGGCUGGUCUCUGGAGCCCAUGGAGCUAAAAAUCUGCAAUUAGGAAUGGUUGGGUCUGUGGCCUAACUGAGGCUUGGUGUGGGCCGCGUCUUGGUGGAGAAAGAGGGUGGUGGGCCUAAUUCAACCGUGGGAGAGGGCCAACCCAAUGGUUUUGCUUUAGGGUUAGAGGGUCCAACCCAGUUUAGUGAUUUUGAUAUAACCCUUCUUCUUUUUGCCAGCAAUAUGCAUCUCCAAAAUUUGAGACUAAACAUGAUAAUUAGUACCAUCCAACUUAAUAGAAAUUGUUGGAGAGGGGUAGUCUCGUGAAUGGUCUCCAUGGAUGAAUUUUUGCUAUCAGAAAUACCCACUUCUGUUUUUGUAGACAUUAUAUGCCAACAAAGAAGGUGAAAAGAAGGAAGAAGUGUUGAUUAGGCAGCAACGCAAAUUCUCUACUUUUGCUCUGAUACCAACUUGAUAAAUUGCUGAAUGAAUUUUCUCGUAUAUCUUUAGUAGAUUUAUACGGGAUAUACAAAGCUAUUUUAGGAUGGCCAACUAUACAAAAUAAACAACAACUAUAUAGAAUAAAUCACAAUUGUUUGACAACUAUACAAAUGGUUGUACACAGCUGUACAUCACAGCUGGACACAGCUGUACUGACAGCUGACUGUUUUCCAUAUUAUGGCAAGUAUUGUAUUAAGUGAUGAUAUAAGAGAACUCUUUUGGGAACUUGUCAUAAAUAAGAGGCAUCAAUGGGAAUAAGUGACCUGUACACCUCUACAAUUGAUAUACUGAUUUGAAAAUUAUUGUCUUCUUUACUUCUAGUCUCAUUUCUAAACUUUUGCUCAUUUAUUUUGGUUUUAAUCAUUAACCUUAGAUCUAGUUUUCCGUUUAUUUGUUUUGAUUCUGAUUCAUUAACCUAAGCUGUAGUUUUUUUUGCUUACACACUGAAUUCUAAAUGGCAGGAAAUGGAUUGUUUCUUCUAGCCAUGGCUAAAAGGAGGGAGGACUUGAAUUUUCUUGGGUUAGAGAUUAAUGAAAAGGUUUGCCUGCUUCCUUUUUCAGUCUUUUUUCUUUUAUGCAUGUCUUGAAGUGUCUAGACUUCAUAUUUAUCAAAUGGAGGGAGAAGGGAAAAAAUGCUUUAAACUUCUUCACUGGUAAUAACGUAUUUACAUCUUUUUUCAGCUUGUAAGACGUUGUCUAGACUGUGUUCAUCAAUAUGGCAUAAUGAAUGGGUAUGUGCCAUUUCCUUAAUGUUGCACAAAAGUUGCAUGUAGCUAUGACAAAAGUGAGUUAUCCUGCUCAACUUUUCCACUUAGUUUAAUCUUCCUGGAGACAAUCAUCAUUACCUUUGAAUUACUCUAUAUAAGAGUACAGUUUAUAGUUUGUUUGGUAAAACAUUUCUUUUUUAACUUUCUUUUGU
This 12315-nucleotide long non-coding RNA is filed under the name Vitis vinifera (wine grape). Its description in RNAcentral is "long non-coding RNA (VVIN_LNC002525)". Lineage: Eukaryota; Viridiplantae; Streptophyta; Magnoliopsida; Vitales; Vitaceae. The record is from RNAcentral.